Molecule: long non-coding RNA, 1107 nt
Organism: Trichomycterus rosablanca
Lineage: Eukaryota; Metazoa; Chordata; Actinopteri; Siluriformes; Trichomycteridae
Exons: 4
Source: RefSeq, a predicted model, not a curated record
GUUGAAGGAGAAAGACAGGAUUGCGAAGAUAUUUGAAGCAUAUCCAUGUUUCAAAGACCCUCAAAAUGCAAUGGAUGAGCUGCGUCGCAUCUUGGGUGGCACCAACCCCAAAUACAUUGAUGAAACAAAGAAAAGAUGGGAAAACUUCUGUGCCAAUGUCCAGUUCUAUGGUGUGUGGAAGAAAGUCCUGAAACCCCCUAUACCCUUGAAUAUGCAUGAUGCGGAUUUCACCAUUGCCAUUUUGACUGGUCUCCCAUCACUAUUUCCCUCACCAACUUCGCCACCAAAACGGCUCGGGAAUCCCAGUGAAGCACUAUUGCAUGUCCUUCAGGCAAGGGAGGAUCCAUCGCUUUACUUGGAGAAGCGUCCUCUCACCAGUCCAGUGUUACUGUUUGAUGGAAAGGUCUGCAUCCUUGCCAUGGGAAACGUACCUGUAAGCACCAUACCAAAGGAGGAGUUCUUUGAUGGGAUGUUGAUGUUAAUGGCAUACUACUACACGAUGCACCUGACGUACCCAAAAUGUGUUGCAACCCUCCUCUCGGUCAUUCAAACUGAGGUACUGUGUGAUGCGAUCCAUGAUCGAGAUGCUACAGGUGCAUAUAAGAGGGCAAUGGCGGAGUGGAAAUCAUUUAUUGAGAAGUAGUUGCACAUGGCCUGUUUUUUUUUUGUUUACUAGUGGGGAAACUCAUGUUCAAAUGCAGUUGUUCACUGUCUAUUUAAAUCCCCCUCCUCUCCCAUGUCUCUCUCUGUCAAUCUUUUUCUUUCCCUCUUCUCUCUUUCUCACACAUUCUUUCUCUCUACUCUCUCACACUCACUCCUCCCUCACCUACCCACAAACAAGUGGUUUAAUAAUCAAGCAUUCACAAAGUGGAAAUCCUUUACUAAGAUGUAGUUGCAUAACUUGGUCUAUCUUGCUGUUUGCUCAGUAUACUGAGAUGUAUCUUCAUUCCAUGUUCUUGGGAAGUUGACUGUACUAGUGGUAAGGUGAUGUUGUGCAGUUGUUCACUGUCAAUUGCUGCAAAGUACUGUGUACUUCAAUUGUUUAGUGUGUAUUAAACAAGUGUUUGAUAGUUUUACAGUACUGUCAAUAAAUGUUGACAGAAUUUU